CGCACCAUGGCUAGUGGUAUCAUUCUUGCUUCGGGUGCGAGAGGUCCCGGGUUCAAAUCCUGGAAGUGUCC
Non-coding RNA from Danionella cerebrum, 71 nucleotides. The record is from the annotation of a GenBank genome assembly. Lineage: Eukaryota; Metazoa; Chordata; Actinopteri; Cypriniformes; Danionidae.